AUACGAAAGGUGCAAGCGUUGUUCGGAUUUACUGGGCGUAAAGAGAUCGUAGGUGGUUUGUUAAGUCGGAUGUGAAAUCCCGGGGCUCAACCUCGGAACUGCAUCCAAAACUGGCAGACUUGAGUUCGAGAGGGGUAAGCGGAAUUCCGUGUGUAGCAGUGAAAUGCGUAGAUAUACGGAGGAACACCUGAGGCGAAGGCGGCUUACUGGACCGAUACUGACACUGAGGAUCGAAAGCGUGGGUAGCAAACAGGAUUAGAAACCCCAGUAGUCC
Molecule: ribosomal RNA, 274 nt
Filed under: uncultured bacterium
Lineage: Bacteria
Description: partial 16S ribosomal RNA
Rfam family: Bacterial small subunit ribosomal RNA
Source: RNAcentral